CUCAUCCAAGUCUCCACUUGUAGAAUUAGUUCUUAUAAUGGCGAACAAAUUUACGCCCCUUUCAAGAGCCUCCUUCCCAUGGUGGACCCUAACGAUAUUGUAUUUGGGGUGUGGGACAUUAGCAACCUAAAUUUGGCAGAUGCCAUUGCCCGAGCCAAGGUACUCGACGUUGACCUUCAGAAACAACGGUGACCUUACAUGCAAGGCACGAUCUGCCUCUUCCUGGCAUCUUUGAUCCUGAUUUUAUAGCUGCAAACCAAGUUGAAAGGGCAAAUAAUAUCGUCAAGGGUUCCAAGAAGCAACAGGUGCAACACAUUGUUCAAGUCAUUAGGGAGUUAAAAGGCGGAAAAAAAAAGGUAGACAGAGUAGUUUUUCACUACACUGCCAAUGCAGAACGAUAUAAUGACAUUAUGAUGGGGCUGAAUGGACAAAGGAGGCUUUAUUGGCAGCUUUAGAAAGGGUCGACUCUGAUAUCUCACCCUCGACUCUUUAUGGUCUGGCCUGUAUUCAGGAGAAUAUUCCCUUCAUCAAUGGCGGCCCUCAGAAUACCUUUGUGCCAGGUCUUUGAAUGCAGAAGUUCAAAAUAGUCACAAAAACACAAUCAGAAAGCCUAGAAAGCCAAGCCCACAAAGCCAAGCCCAUAGAGAAGCUCAGAACAACCACAAAAGUCUACAAACAAAUUUGUUACCACUAGUUUGUUACCACUAUACUAGUUUUGUACACAAUUAAUUGACAAACAAUGUCCAGAACGAGUUCUUUCAAUUUAAAUUCCAUGUAAAUCAAUUAACAAUGCUCAAGGAAUAUAUGUUAAUAUAUAUAAGUAUUUCCUCUUUUUCCUCUU
Cryptomeria japonica (Japanese cedar) is the source of this 841-nucleotide long non-coding RNA. RefSeq lists it as uncharacterized. The transcript is spliced from 4 exons. NCBI's taxonomy places the organism in Eukaryota, Viridiplantae, Streptophyta, Pinopsida, Cupressales, Cupressaceae. The record is from RefSeq and is a predicted model, not a curated record.